AAGGAGUCUAACAUCUAUGCGAGUGUUUGGGUGUCAAGCCCGAGCGCGUAAUGAAAGUGAACGGAGGUGGGAACCCGCAAGGGUGCACCAUCGACCGAUCCUGAUGUCUUCGGAAGGAUUUGAGUAAGAGCAUGGCUGUUGGGACCCGAAAGAUGGUGAACUAUGCCUGAAUAGGGCGAAGCCAGAGGAAACUCUGGUGGAGGCUCGUAGCGAUUCUGACGUGCAAAUCGAUCGUCAAAUUUGGGUAUAGGGGCGAAAGACUAAUCGAACCAUCUAGUAGCUGGUUCCUGC
RNAcentral lists this unclassified non-coding RNA (291 nucleotides) under uncultured fungus. RNAcentral's name for it is "partial contains 5.8S rRNA, ITS2 and 28S rRNA". It matches the Rfam family "Eukaryotic large subunit ribosomal RNA", at positions 668 to 961 of the family's 3401-position model. The record is from RNAcentral. Lineage: Eukaryota; Fungi.